Molecule: transfer RNA, 63 nt
Filed under: Typosyllis antoni
Lineage: Eukaryota; Metazoa; Annelida; Polychaeta; Phyllodocida; Syllidae
Description: tRNA-Trp
Source: RNAcentral
AAAGAUUUAAGUUAACACAAACUAUUUACUUUCAAAGUAAACAAUAAUUCUUUUUACUCUUUG